UGGCAGCGCUGUUUUCNGAGACAGCUCCUG
RNAcentral lists this non-coding RNA (30 nucleotides) under Rattus norvegicus (Norway rat). The record is from RNAcentral. Lineage: Eukaryota; Metazoa; Chordata; Mammalia; Rodentia; Muridae.